Molecule: ribosomal RNA, 468 nt
Filed under: uncultured bacterium
Lineage: Bacteria
Description: partial 16S ribosomal RNA
Rfam family: Bacterial small subunit ribosomal RNA
Source: RNAcentral
GAUGAACGCUGGCGGCGUGCCUAACACAUGCAAGUCGAGCGAUUCUCUUCGGAGAAGAGCGGCGGACGGGUGAGUAACGCGUGGGUAACCUGCCCUGUACACACGGAUAACAUACCGAAAGGUAUGCUAAUACGGGAUAAUAUGCAUUAGUCGCAUGGCUGAAGUAUCAAAGCUCCGGCGGUACAGGAUGGACCCGCGUCUGAUUAGCUAGUUGGUAAGGUAACGGCUUACCAAGGCGACGAUCAGUAGCCGACCUGAGAGGGUGAUCGGCCACAUUGGAACUGAGACACGGUCCAAACUCCUACGGGAGGCAGCAGUGGGGAAUAUUGCACAAUGGGCGAAAGCCUGAUGCAGCAACGCCGCGUGAGCGAUGAAGGCCUUCGGGUCGUAAGGCUCUGUCCUCAAGGAAGAUAAUGACGGUACUUGAGGAGGAAGCCCCGGCUAACUACGUGCCAGCCGCCGCGGUAA